GACGAACGCUGGCGGCGUGCUUAACACAUGCAAGUCGAACGGAAAGGCCCUGCUUUUGUCGGGUGCUCGAGUGGCGAACGGGUGAGUAACACGUGAGUAACCUGCCCUUGACUUAGGGGUAACUUAAGGAAACUGGGGCUAAUACCGGAUCGGCGAUCCUGCUGCAUGGUGGGGCUUGGACAGUUUCGGCGGUUGGGAAUGGACCCCCGGCUUAUCAGCUUGGUUGUGGGGUAGUGGCUUACCAAGUCUGAGCCGGGUAGCGGGCCUGAGAGGGGGACCGGCCACAUUGCGACUGAGAUGCGGCACAGACUCCUACGGGAGGCAGCAGUGGGGAAUAUUGCAUUAUGGGCGGAGGCCAGAUGCAGUAACGCCGCGUGCGGGAUGACGGCCUUCGGGUUGUAAACCGCUGUCGCAUGUGACGAAGCGUGAGUGACGGUAAUGGGUAAAGAAGCACCGGCUAACUACGUG
This 468-nucleotide ribosomal RNA is filed under the name uncultured bacterium. RNAcentral describes it as "partial 16S ribosomal RNA". It matches the Rfam family "Bacterial small subunit ribosomal RNA", at positions 28 to 507 of the family's 1533-position model. The record is from RNAcentral.